RNAcentral lists this ribosomal RNA (460 nucleotides) under uncultured bacterium. Its description in RNAcentral is "partial 16S ribosomal RNA". It matches the Rfam family "Bacterial small subunit ribosomal RNA", at positions 338 to 795 of the family's 1533-position model. The record is from RNAcentral.
CCUACGGGGUGCAGCAGUGAAGAAUAUUGGUCAAUGGACGAGAGUCUGAACCAGCCAAGUAGCGUGAAGGAUGACUGCCCUAUGGGUUGUAAACUUCUUUUAUAUGGGAAUAAAAUGUUCCACGUGUGGGAUUUUGUAUGUACCAUAUGAAUAAGGAUCGGCUAACUCCGUGCCAGCAGCCGCGGUAAUACGGAGGAGCCGAGCGUUAUCCGGAUUUAUUGGGUUUAAAGGGAGCGUAGGUGGAUUGUUAAGUCAGUUGUGAAAGUUUGCGGCUCAACCGUAAAAUUGCAGUUGAAACUGGCAGUCUUGAGUACAGGAGAGGUGGGCGGAAUUCGUGGUGUAGCGGUGAAAUGCUUAGAUAUCACGAAGAACACCGAUUGCGAAGGCAGUUCACUGGACUGCAACUGACACUGAGGCUCGAAAGUGUGGGUAUCAAACAGGAUUAGAUACCCUUGUAGUC